This 87-nucleotide transfer RNA is filed under the name Macrophomina phaseolina MS6. It matches the Rfam family "tRNA". Rfam says of the family: Transfer RNA (tRNA) molecules are approximately 80 nucleotides in length. Their secondary structure includes four short double-helical elements and three loops (D, anti-codon, and T loops). Further hydrogen bonds mediate the characteristic L-shaped molecular structure. tRNAs have two regions of fundamental functional importance: the anti-codon, which is responsible for specific mRNA codon recognition, and the 3' end, to which the tRNAs corresponding amino acid is attached (by aminoacyl-tRNA synthetases). tRNAs cope with the degeneracy of the genetic code in two manners: having more than one tRNA (with a specific anti-codon) for a particular amino acid; and 'wobble' base-pairing, i.e. permitting non-standard base-pairing at the 3rd anti-codon position. The record is from Rfam by way of RNAcentral. Lineage: Eukaryota; Fungi; Ascomycota; Dothideomycetes; Botryosphaeriales; Botryosphaeriaceae.
GGGCACUUGGUCUAGGGGUAUGAUUUUCGCUUCGCAUCAUUAAAAUGUACAUGUGAAAGGUCGUGGGUUCAAUUCCCACAGUGUCCA